UAAAACAAAAUCUUGUGAAAAGUAAUGUUCCACAAUGCACAGGCAAGACUAACCGUUAUCUUAAGAGGAGCGACACCAUAUCUCAUUACAAAGUUCAGUACCAUCCACACGUCAGCAUAACAUCUGCCUUUAUGGUUUUCGAAAGAGAAGCAGUCUUGGAAUUAUAUGGACAGAGAAAGUGUCCCAUCAUUCAGACCGUGCUUCGGUUAUACCAUGGAGAUUACAAAAAUACAACCUACAAAAAUGUACUCUACAUCAGCUACAGCUACAUUUAACUAUAGUCUGCAGAGAAAUUAAUGUCAAGUGUGGCAACAGGCGUCUUCCACAGGAAUGCGAUAGAGCCACCUAUUCAGAUAUCCUUAGAAUCCAACUGCUUUGUGGAGUUGUAGUUUCUGAUUCCAGCUGUCCUUUAACCAGAGUUUUGGUGCCCGUCGCAUAUAGCAGAUGAUGACUGAUCAUCGAUUCCAACUAGAUGCGGUUAACUUGCCAGACCUGCGAACUGUUGGACCAAUAUGUGAAUACAGUCACUGGAAACAGGCUUUUCAAAACAAAAUAGUGUGCAAGUUUAAGGGUAGGAAGAGCACGUAACAAGAAAGAAUUUUCAAUACAACAGAUAGUCCCUGUAUUGCAUAAAGAUUGGAAAGGUCUAGCUCGUUCUACAGCCGCACCCAUGCCUGUAAUCUUUCAGACUCUGGUUCAAGACCUGAUGGUUUUUUUAUCCACUUCAAAGUUCUUUGUUUCAGCAUCCCUGCCUGUAGGCCCCUCGAGGAUACAAGUUGCAACUAUACCCUUGUGAAGACAGCCACACAAUAACGCUCCACAGGAUGAGCAAUAAACUGAAAGAGAAUGACAUCUGAAUUGGUCCAUUCGAUCUCAGUGAAUGAAGCUAUAUUUAAGUUAUUGUUCAAUUUCCAGUCCACUAGUGUGCUUCUCCUGGAAUUUACCACAAGUCAACAUUAAGUAAACAACACAAAAACAAGCAGAUGCAAUAGAAAGCAUAAAAUAUUACGAACAUCUUAAGUCCUUUGCAAGAAGUAAACUUGCCAUAAAUUGGGGUGUCUACCGGAUAGUUUGGUCAUACAUGUCUCAGAUCUGUGACUGUCACCCUAAGAUAAUUUUUCCUUGGGAUUUUUCUAGUCUAACUUUAAAAAAUUUGGUGUCGUGAUUGCAUUUCUGGUCAGCUAGUUACCUAAGUGUUAGAAUCAGUGUAUG
Molecule: non-coding RNA, 1212 nt
Organism: Struthio camelus australis
Lineage: Eukaryota; Metazoa; Chordata; Aves; Struthioniformes; Struthionidae
Source: RefSeq, a predicted model, not a curated record